GGUUGGGUUUCGCGCAAUUGAAAGUUUUGAACCGUGUCAGGUCCUAACGGAAGCAGCACUAAGACUCUGGAGAUGUGCCGCGGAACUCAGCCACC
Molecule: signal recognition particle RNA, 95 nt
Filed under: SAR324 cluster bacterium
Lineage: Bacteria; Deltaproteobacteria
Description: signal recognition particle sRNA small type
Rfam family: Bacterial small signal recognition particle RNA
About the family: The signal recognition particle (SRP) is a universally conserved ribonucleoprotein involved in the co-translational targeting of proteins to membranes. Archaeal SRP consists of a 7S RNA and homologues of the eukaryotic SRP19 and SRP54 proteins.
Source: RNAcentral